GUCCUACGGGAGGCAGCAGUGAGGAAUAUUGGUCAAUGGGCUUACGCCUGAACCAGCCAAGUCGCGUGAGGGAAGACUGCCCUAUGGGUUGUAAACCUCUUUUGUCAGGGAGCAACGCCGGCUACGUGUAGCCGGACUGAGAGUACCUGAAGAAAAAGCAUCGGCUAACUCCGUGCCAGCAGCCGCGGUAAUACGGAGGAUGCGAGCGUUAUCCGGCUUUACUGGGUGUAAAGGGAGCGCAGACGGGAAGGCAAGUCUGUUGU
Molecule: ribosomal RNA, 263 nt
Filed under: uncultured bacterium
Lineage: Bacteria
Description: partial 16S ribosomal RNA
Rfam family: Bacterial small subunit ribosomal RNA
Source: RNAcentral